AGGAGGUUGGACUCCCCAUUC
This 21-nucleotide microRNA is filed under the name Ananas comosus (pineapple). Its description in RNAcentral is "microRNA s0736_c95a". Lineage: Eukaryota; Viridiplantae; Streptophyta; Magnoliopsida; Poales; Bromeliaceae. The record is from RNAcentral.